GACGAACGCUGGCGGCGUGCUUAACACAUGCAAGUCGAACGGAAAGGCCCUGCUUUUGUGGGGUGCUCGAGUGGCGAACGGGUGAGUAACACGUGAGUAACCUGCCCUUGACUUUGGGAUAACUUCAGGAAACUGGGGCUAAUACCGGAUAGGAGCUCCUGCUGCAUGGUGGGGGUUGGAAAGUUUCGGCGGUUGGGGAUGGACUCGCGGCUUAUCAGCUUGUUGGUGGGGUAGUGGCUUACCAAGGCUUUGACGGGUAGCCGGCCUGAGAGGGUGACCGGCCACAUUGGGACUGAGAUACGGCCCAGACUCCUACGGGAGGCAGCAGCGGGGAAUAUUGCACAAUGGGCGGAAGCCUGAUGCAGCAACGCCGCGUGCGGGAUGACGGCCUUCGGGUUGUAAACCGCUUUCGCCUGUGACGAAGCGUGAGUGACGGUAAUGGGUAAAGAAGCACCGGCUAACUACGUGCCAGCAGCCGCGGUGAUACGUAGGGUGCGAGCGUUGUCCGGAUUUAUUGGGCGUAAAGGGCUCGUAGGUGGUUGAUCGCGUCGGAAGUGUAAUCUUGGGGCUUAACCCUGAGCGUGCUUUCGAUACGGGUUGACUUGAGGAAGGUAGGGGAGAAUGGAAUUCCUGGUGGAGCGGUGGAAUGCGCAGAUAUCAGGAGGAACACCAGUGGCGAAGGCGGUUCUCUGGGCCUUUCCUGACGCUGAGGAGCGAAAGCGUGGGGAGCGAACAGGCUUAGAUACCCUGGUAGUCCACGCUGUAAACGGUGGGUACUAGGUGUGGGGUCCAUUCCACGGGUUCCGUGCCGUAGCUAACGCUUUAAGUACCCCGCCUGGGGAGUACGGCCGCAAGGCUAAAACUCAAAGGAAUUGACGGGGCCCCGCACAAGCGGCGGAGCAUGCGGAUUAAUUCGAUGCAACGCGUAGAACCUUACCUGGGUUUGACAUGGAUCGGGAGUGCUCAGAGAUGGGUGUGCCUCUUUUGGGGUCGGUUCACAGGUGGUGCAUGGCUGUCGUCAGCUCGUGUCGUGAGAUGUUGGGUUAAGUCCCGCAACGAGCGCAACCCUUGUUCACUGUUGCCAGCACGUUAUGGUGGGGACUCAGUGGAGACCGCCGGGGUCAACUCGGAGGAAGGUGGGGAUGACGUCAAGUCAUCAUGCCCCUUAUGUCCAGGGCUUCACGCAUGCUACAAUGGCUGGUACAGAGAGUGGCGAGCCUGUGAGGGUGAGCGAAUCUCGGAAAGCCGGUCUCAGUUCGGAUUGGGGUCUGCAACUCGACCUCAUGAAGUCGGAGCCGCUAGUAAUCGCAGAUCAGCAACGCUGCGGUGAAUACGUUCCCGGGGCU
Molecule: ribosomal RNA, 1346 nt
Filed under: uncultured bacterium
Lineage: Bacteria
Description: partial 16S ribosomal RNA
Rfam family: Bacterial small subunit ribosomal RNA
Source: RNAcentral